UUUUGGGUAUUGUAGUGCUUUUUUCACACUAUUUGAACUUUUUUCGUAGGUUAUGAGUUACGAACCUACACCUAAGCUGUUUUAGGUCAUUUUGAAAGUUCCAGUGAAACUUAGACACGUUUUGAACUCGUUUUAGGUUGGAUUGAAACUAAGUUUUAAACAUAUUUGAUUGACAUGUUGGGCUCUUGAAGUACUUUUUUCACACUUUUUGAAAUUUUGGUAGGUUGUGAGUUACAAACUUACACUUAAGCAUUGGUUGGUCGUUUUGAAAAUUCAAGUGAUACUUACACACGUUUUUGACUACAUUUUAGGUUAGAUUGAGUUUGUUGCACUUGGUUGUCAUUUUUUGUCUUGAAAUGCUUUUUUCAACCUUUUUGGUAGAUUAUGAGUUACGAACUUACACUUAGAAUUUGCUAGAUCGUUUUGAAAACUCAAGUAAUACCUAGACACGUUUUGAGCACGUUUUAGGUUGGUUUGAACUAAGUUUGUUGCACUUACACACUUGGUUGCCAUUUUGGGUAUUGUAGUGCUUUUUUCACACUAUUUGAACUUUUUUCGUAGGUUAUGAGUUACGAACCUACACCUAAGCUGUUUUAGGUCAUUUGAAAGUUCCAGUGAAACUUAGACACGUUUUGAACUCGUUUUAGGUUGGAUUGAAACUAAGUUUUAAACAUAUUUGAUUGACAUGUUGGGUCUUGAAGUACUUUUUUCACACUUU
RNAcentral lists this long non-coding RNA (718 nucleotides) under Cucumis sativus (cucumber). RNAcentral's name for it is "long non-coding RNA (CSAT_LNC000215)". Lineage: Eukaryota; Viridiplantae; Streptophyta; Magnoliopsida; Cucurbitales; Cucurbitaceae. The record is from RNAcentral.